Molecule: ribosomal RNA, 402 nt
Filed under: uncultured bacterium
Lineage: Bacteria
Description: bacterial SSU rRNA
Rfam family: Bacterial small subunit ribosomal RNA
Source: RNAcentral
UCGGGAAUUUUGGGCAAUGGGCGAAAGCCUGACCCAGCAACGCCGCGUGAGGGAUGAAGUAUUUCGGUAUGUAAACCUCGAAAGAAUGGGAAGAAUAAAUGACGGUACCAUUUAUAAGCUCCGGCUAACUACGUGCCAGCAGCCGCGGUAAUACGUAGGGAGCAAGCGUUGUUCGGAUUUACUGGGCGUAAAGGGCGCGUAGGCGGCGCGGUAAGUCACUUGUGAAAUCUCUGAGCUUAACUCAGAACGGCCAAGUGAUACUGCUGUGCUAGAGUGCGGAAGAGGCAACCGGAAUUCUUGGUGUAGCGGUGAAAUGCGUAGAUAUCAAGAGGAACACCUGAGGCGAAGGCGGGUUGUUGGGCCGACACUGACGCUGAUGCGCGAAAGCCAGGGGAGCAAACG